AUGAUAUGCAGUACUGACGGCGACGCCAUGCAGUUCGCUGUGCGAAUCCCGUCCAGGUUUGGUGCUGUUCAGAAGCAUUUCUACUGCUUUCAGAAGAAAAAAUUAUGGGUUGUUUUCGAUGCAGUGCAGUUCAGACACUCAUUGAGGACUUGGAGCUCGCCCGCGAGUGGCUCGUGGUCCGCGCAGCUCGGGCGUGCAACUAUUGGGUCCUCCACCGCUGCAAGUCCUCCACCUGUUGCGCCGUCCUCCACAGUACAGUCCACAUGGCCAGAGUAUGCCACAACCCACAACUCCAGCGGGGGGUAA
This 306-nucleotide ribosomal RNA is filed under the name Triticum aestivum (bread wheat). Its description in RNAcentral is "partial small subunit ribosomal RNA". The record is from RNAcentral. Lineage: Eukaryota; Viridiplantae; Streptophyta; Magnoliopsida; Poales; Poaceae.